CGCCCCAACUUUUCCCUGGUAGCAGAGCGCCGGGGAAACGCCGAUUGGGAAGAGAGACCCGCGGUGCCCACACUCAGCUCCGUCAGCCCCAGUCUGAGGUGGAGCCCAGCCUUCUCAGGAGUUCAACUCAACCACAUGUAUGGUGCUUCCCGUGUGCCAGGCAUGGUGCCAGGCCCCGGGGACAUGCCAUGACUACGCCGCGUCUCUGCUCUCAAGGAACUCACUCUAGUGUGGAGAAAGACACCCGACAGACUGUCUAAAACCUGGUGAUUACACAGAAGGCGGGAGCGCAGGGGACACCUGACCCCCUGGGACAGCCGUGAAGGGAUUGGGAAAAUGCUUCCUGUGGGGUGGAGGCCCUGAGGAGUUUGGGAAGGAAGAGGGAUUCAGGUGAAGGUGACCUGAGCGGGUGGGUUCAUCAGGAAAGGACGCCAGAGCGCCAGGGGCCAGUCACAGCCCGGAGAGUGGGAAAUGACAGCAAUUUUGGAAUUGCACACAAGGCGGGAAAGGGGAAAUGAUGCUGUAGAAAGCAGGAGAAGCCAGAUAAUGCGGAUGCAUAGCCAGACCCAGGGCGUGGGCUUUUUCUCGCGAGCUGUGGGUGCCACUUAGGGAGACUAGAGGAUAGCGAACAGGAGAGGGAUGUGCUCAAAGCUGGCAGCUGCACGUUGGAAACUAAAUCAGGGGUAUGGGGACAUGAGAUCCUAUGGGGAGACCAGAGCCAUAGACUCGGAGAUGGAGGAUGAAGACCUGAACUGGGGUGGAGGCAGAGAGAAGGCAGAAGGAAGAAGGGAUGGAAAUGAGAUAGGAGACAAACUCGGCCAGCCCAGCCGGAAGCUGUGGCUGGUUGGCCCCUGGGGUUGGGGUGGAGAGGAGGGAGGGAGGCAGUCUGACUUCUGGCUUUGGAGAUGUCAGCUGUGAAAAGGUCUCUGACCAGGCCUGUAUGGGGCAGGUAGUCACUGUUUACUUGUGUCACACACACACACACAGCAGAAGGAGUGUAUUAGAAGCACCUCAUGCAACCCUGCUGGCGGGAGUGUAAACUGGUGCAACCUCUUUGAAGAGUGAUUUGACAAUAUCUAUCAAAAAUAUUUUUAAAAUGCAGACACCUUUUGUCUAGCAAUUCCACUUUUAGGGAUUUACACUGUAGAUAAAAUGUAUAUACAUAUAACCUCGUAUGUGGGUGGGUAUUAAUUGCAUCCUUUGUAAUCACAAAACACUUGAAAUAACCUAAGUGUCCACCAAGAAGAGACUGGUUAAAUAGAUGCUGCUAUGUCUAUAGCAAAGAAUGCCAUGCAGUCAUGAAAAGUGAUGAGGUGGAAGAUAGACCAGUAAAUGAAACAAAGCAAGAUUCAUAACUAGAGUGAUGGCAUAUUCCCACUAGAGGGAAUAUAAAGUAGACACAGAUAUAAGUGUAUACUUUUCAUUUUUUUGCUGAGGAAGAUUCACCCUGAGCUCACCUCCAUGCCAAUCUUCCUUUACUUUACA
This 1485-nucleotide long non-coding RNA is filed under the name Equus asinus (donkey). RNAcentral's name for it is "lncRNA (ENSEASG00005036524.1)". Lineage: Eukaryota; Metazoa; Chordata; Mammalia; Perissodactyla; Equidae. The record is from RNAcentral.